GAUGAACGCUGGCGGCGUGCCUAAUACAUGCAAGUCGAGCGGACAGACGAGGAGCUUGCUUCUCUUACGUUAGCGGCGGACGGGUGAGUCACACGUGGCUAACCGACCUUUAAGACUGGGAUCACUUCGGGAAACCGGAUCUCAUACCGGAUAAGAUAUUGAACCGCAGGGUUCAUUAGUGCAAGCCGGUUUUGCUGUCCCUAAUAGAUGUAUCCGCGUCGCAUUAGCUAGUUGGUAAGGUAACGGCUUACCAAGGCAACGAUGCGUAGCCGACCUGAGAGGGUGAUCAGCCACACUGGAACUGAGACACGGUCCAGACUCCUACGGGAGGCAGCAGUAGGGAAUAUUGGACAAUGGGCGAAAGCCUGACGGAGCAACGCCGCGUGUGUGAUGAAGGUCUUCGGAUCGUAAAACUCUUUUAUUAGGGAAGAACAAAUGUGUAAGAAAAUAUGCAUGUCUUGACGUUACCUAAUCAGAAAGCCACGGCUAACUACGUG
Molecule: ribosomal RNA, 497 nt
Filed under: uncultured bacterium
Lineage: Bacteria
Description: partial 16S ribosomal RNA
Rfam family: Bacterial small subunit ribosomal RNA
Source: RNAcentral